GACCCAAACAUGGGUGAUCAAUCCAUGACCAGGAUGAAGCUUGAAUGAAGUUAAGUAGAGGUUUGAAUUGACUAAUGUUGAAGAAUCACUAAAUGAGUUGUGGUUAGGGGUGAAAUGUCAUUCAAACCCAAAGCUAACUAG
RNAcentral lists this non-coding RNA (141 nucleotides) under Vitis vinifera (wine grape). RNAcentral describes it as "Bacterial large subunit ribosomal RNA". It matches the Rfam family "Bacterial large subunit ribosomal RNA", at positions 712 to 852 of the family's 2925-position model. The record is from Rfam by way of RNAcentral. Lineage: Eukaryota; Viridiplantae; Streptophyta; Magnoliopsida; Vitales; Vitaceae.